GGGUUGUGAGGUUAAGCGACUAAGCGUACACGGUGGAUGCCCUGGCAGUCAGAGGCGAUGAAGGACGUGCUAAUCUGCGAAAAGCGUCGGUAAGGUGAUAUGAACCGUUAUAACCGGCGAUGUCCGAAUGGGGAAACCCAGUGCAAUUCGUUGCACUAUCGUUAACUGAAUACAUAGGUUAACGAGGCGAACCGGGGGAACUGAAACAUCUAAGUACCCCGAGGAAAAGAAAUCAACCGAGAUUCCCCCAGUAGCGGCGAGCGAACGGGGAGCAGCCCAGAGUCUGAAUCAGCUUGUGUGUUAGUGGAACGGUCUGGAAAGUCCGACGGUACAGGGUGAUAGUCCCGUACACCAAAAUGCACAGGCUGUGAACUCGAAGAGUAGGGCGGGACACGUGGUAUCCUGUCUGAAUAUGGGGGGACCAUCCUCCAAGGCUAAAUACUCCUGACUGACCGAUAGUGAACCAGUACCGUGAGGGAAAGGCGAAAAGAACCCCGGCGAGGGGAGUGAAAAAGAACCUGAAACCGUGUACGUACAAGCAGUGGGAGCACCUUCGGGUGUGACUGCGUACCUUUUGUAUAAUGGGUCAGCGACUUAUAUUCUGUAGCAAGGUUAACCGUAUAGGGGAGCCGCAGGGAAACCGAGUCUUAACUGGGCGUUAAGUUGCAGGGUAUAGACCCGAAACCCGGUGAUCUAGCCAUGGGCAGGUUGAAGGUUGGGUAACACUAACUGGAGGACCGAACCGACUAAUGUUGAAAAAUUAGCGGAUGACUUGUGGCUGGGGGUGAAAGGCCAAUCAAACCGGGAGAUAGCUGGUUCUCCCCGAAAGCUAUUUAGGUAGCGCCUCGUGAACUCAUCUUCGGGGGUAGAGCACUGUUUCGGCUAGGGGGUCAUCCCGACUUACCAACCCGAUGCAAACUACGAAUACCGAAGAAUGUUAUCACGGGAGACACACGGCGGGUGCUAACGUCCGUCGUGAAGAGGGAAACAACCCAGACCGCCAGCUAAGGUCCCAAAGUCAUGGUUAAGUGGGAAACGAUGUGGGAAGGCACAGACAGCCAGGAUGUUGGCUUAGAAGCAGCCAUCAUUUAAAGAAAGCGUAAUAGCUCACUGGUCGAGUCGGCCUGCGCGGAAGAUGUAACGGGGCUAAACCAUGCACCGAAGCUGCGGCAGCGACACUAUGUGUUGUUGGGUAGGGGAGCGUUCUGUAAGCCUGCGAAGGUGACCUGUGAGGGUUGCUGGAGGUAUCAGAAGUGCGAAUGCUGACAUAAGUAACGAUAAAGCGGGUGAAAAGCCCGCUCGCCGGAAGACCAAGGGUUCCUGUCCAACGUUAAUCGGGGCAGGGUGAGUCGACCCCUAAGGCGAGGCCGAAAGGCGUAGUCGAUGGGAAACAGGUUAAUAUUCCUGUACUUGGUGUUACUGCGAAGGGGGGACGGAGAAGGCUAUGUUAGCCGGGCGACGGUUGUCCCGGUUUAAGCAUGUAGGCUGAUUGUCCAGGCAAAUCCGGAUAAUCAAGGCUGAGGUGUGAUGACGAGGCACUACGGUGCUGAAGUAACAAAUGCCCUGCUUCCAGGAAAAGCCUCUAAGCAUCAGGUAACAUUAAAUCGUACCCCAAACCGACACAGGUGGUCAGGUAGAGAAUACCAAGGCGCUUGAGAGAACUCGGGUGAAGGAACUAGGCAAAAUGGUGCCGUAACUUCGGGAGAAGGCACGCUGGUGUGUAGGUGAAGUCCCUGCGGAUGGAGCUGAGACCAGUCGAAGAUACCAGCUGGCUGCAACUGUUUAUUAAAAACACAGCACUGUGCAAACACGAAAGUGGACGUAUACGGUGUGACGCCUGCCCGGUGCCGGAAGGUUAAUUGAUGGGGUUAUCCGUAAGGAGAAGCUCUUGAUCGAAGCCCCGGUAAACGGCGGCCGUAACUAUAACGGUCCUAAGGUAGCGAAAUUCCUUGUCGGGUAAGUUCCGACCUGCACGAAUGGCGUAAUGAUGGCCAGGCUGUCUCCACCCGAGACUCAGUGAAAUUGAACUCGCUGUGAAGAUGCAGUGUACCCGCGGCAAGACGGAAAGACCCCGUGAACCUUUACUAUAGCUUGACACUGAACAUUGAGCCUUGAUGUGUAGGAUAGGUGGGAGGCUUUGAAGCGUGGACGCCAGUCUGCGUGGAGCCAACCUUGAAAUACCACCCUUUAAUGUUUGAUGUUCUAACGUUGGCCCCUGACCGGGGUUGCGGACAGUGUCUGGUGGGUAGUUUGACUGGGGCGGUCUCCUCCCAAAGCGUAACGGAGGAGCACGAAGGUUAGCUAAUCCUGGUCGGACAUCAGGAGGUUAGUGCAAUGGCAUAAGCUAGCUUGACUGCGAGCGUGACGGCGCGAGCAGGUGCGAAAGCAGGUCAUAGUGAUCCGGUGGUUCUGAAUGGAAGGGCCAUCGCUCAACGGAUAAAAGGUACUCCGGGGAUAACAGGCUGAUACCGCCCAAGAGUUCAUAUCGACGGCGGUGUUUGGCACCUCGAUGUCGGCUCAUCACAUCCUGGGGCUGAAGUAGGUCCCAAGGGUAUGGCUGUUCGCCAUUUAAAGUGGUACGCGAGCUGGGUUUAGAACGUCGUGAGACAGUUCGGUCCCUAUCUGCCGUGGGCGCUGGAGAAUUGAGGGGGGCUGCUCCUAGUACGAGAGGACCGGAGUGGACGCAUCACUGGUGUUCGGGUUGUCAUGCCAAUGGCACUGCCCGGUAGCUAAAUGCGGAAGAGAUAAGUGCUGAAAGCAUCUAAGCACGAAACUUGCCCCGAGAUGAGUUCUCCCUGAGACUUUAAGUCUCCUGAAGGAACGUUGAAGACGACGACGUUGAUAGGCCGGGUGUGUAAGCGCAGCGAUGCGUUGAGCUAACCGGUACUAAUGAACCGUGAGGCUUAACCUUACAACGCCGAAG
RNAcentral lists this ribosomal RNA (2923 nucleotides) under Klebsiella pneumoniae. RNAcentral describes it as "23S ribosomal RNA". It matches the Rfam family "Bacterial large subunit ribosomal RNA". Lineage: Bacteria; Pseudomonadati; Pseudomonadota; Gammaproteobacteria; Enterobacterales; Enterobacteriaceae. RNAcentral also lists the same sequence under 1 other name. The record is from RNAcentral.